Long non-coding RNA from Peromyscus eremicus (cactus mouse), 666 nucleotides. RefSeq lists it as uncharacterized. The record is from RefSeq and is a predicted model, not a curated record. Lineage: Eukaryota; Metazoa; Chordata; Mammalia; Rodentia; Cricetidae. The transcript has 3 exons.
GCAAGUCUCGCGACGUCCGGGAAGCGGGCAGCGCCUGCCCGGUGGCCAGCAGGGGUCUGGCUCUUUGUGACACCGGACAGAAGAGUUGAUACUGUGCACUAGUGGUCCCGAGACAAGGCCAGUUAGCUAGGACAGGACAAGAUUUGCAGGCCAUCAUUUCCCUCUCCAUCAUCUUUGAUUAUUUCGGUGUCCAGUAACCACACCUGCCCCAGAAUAGACCCAAAAAGGAAUUGCCUGAAGGUACAGUCAGUACUCCAUCUUUCUAGGAUAACCCCCAAAUUUAGGGUAAUAGUCAAGGCCAUUUAUCAUAACUCUCUUCGCAGCUUGCCGCUACCGUCCUCAGGUCAGGAUUCUCAGGGUCUCACAUACCCCAGGCUGGCCACAAGCUCCCCACCUAGUUAAGGAUGACCUUGAACUUCUGACCCCCCUGUUGGGAUUACAGGUUAUAAUGAAAGCAUUCCAGAAACACAGAAGAGACCUUGCAAACUCAAACUCAGCAGCCCGUGCUCAGUUAAGUUUAUUCAGCUACCCGUGGAUACAGUGCAGACUUGGGAAUAUAGAGGAACUCUUCUCUGAAUUCCUGCCUUGUGCAUCUGUACCUCGUCACUCACAGAACCAUUCUGGAAACGUUGAGCCUCAGUAACAUGCAGCACUUCAACUUCUAAA